RNAcentral lists this ribosomal RNA (375 nucleotides) under uncultured bacterium. RNAcentral's name for it is "bacterial SSU rRNA". It matches the Rfam family "Bacterial small subunit ribosomal RNA", at positions 524 to 898 of the family's 1533-position model. The record is from RNAcentral.
UACGGAGGGUGCGAGCGUUUAUCGGAAUUACUGGGCGUAAAGCGCGCGUAGGCGGCUUGUUAAGUCGGAUGUGAAAUCCCCGGGCUCAACCUGGGAACUGCAUCCGAUACUGGCGAGCUGGAGUGCGAUAGAGGGGGGUAGAAUUCCUAGUGUAGCGGUGAAAUGCGUAGAUAUUAGGAGGAAUACCGGUGGCGAAGGCGGCCCCCUGGAUCGACACUGACGCUGAGGUGCGAAAGCGUGGGUAGCAAACAGGAUUAGAUACCCUGGUAGUCCACGCCGUAAACGAUGUCUACUAGCCGUUGGAGAUCUAGAAUCUUUAGUGGCGAAGCUAACGCGAUAAGUAGACCGCCUGGGGAGUACGGCCGCAAGGUUAAA